GGUUAAGCGACUAAGCGUACACGGUGGAUGCCCUGGCAGUCAGAGGCGAUGAAGGACGUGCUAAUCUGCGAUAAGCGCCGGUAAGGUGAUAUGAACCGUUAUAACCGGCGAUUUCCGAAUGGGGAAACCCAGUGUGACUCGUCACACUAUCAUUAACUGAAUCCAUAGGUUAAUGAGGCGAACCGGGGGAACUGAAACAUCUAAGUACCCCGAGGAAAAGAAAUCAACCGAGAUUCCCCCAGUAGCGGCGAGCGAACGGGGAGGAGCCCAGAGCCUGAAUCAGCAUGUGUGUUAGUGGAAGCGUCUGGAAAGGCGCGCGAUACAGGGUGACAGCCCCGUACACAAAAGCGCAUGUGCUGUGAGCUCGAUGAGUAGGGCGGGACACGUGGUAUCCUGUCUGAAUAUGGGGGGACCAUCCUCCAAGGCUAAAUACUCCUGACUGACCGAUAGUGAACCAGUACCGUGAGGGAAAGGCGAAAAGAACCCCGGCGAGGGGAGUGAAAAAGAACCUGAAACCGUGUACGUACAAGCAGUGGGAGCACCCUUUGGGGGUGUGACUGCGUACCUUUUGUAUAAUGGGUCAGCGACUUAUAUUCUGUAGCAAGGUUAACCGAAUAGGGGAGCCGGAGGGAAACCGAGUCUUAACCGGGCGUUAAGUUGCAGGGUAUAGACCCGAAACCCGGUGAUCUAGCCAUGGGCAGGUUGAAGGUUGGGUAACACUAACUGGAGGACCGAACCGACUAAUGUUGAAAAAUUAGCGGAUGACCUGUGGCUGGGGGUGAAAGGCCAAUCAAACCGGGAGAUAGCUGGUUCUCCCCGAAAGCUAUUUAGGUAGCGCCUCGUGAAUUCAUCUCCGGGGGUAGAGCACUGUUUCGGCUAGGGGGCCAUCCCGGCUUACCAACCCGAUGCAAACUGCGAAUACCGGAGAAUGUUAUCACGGGAGACACACGGCGGGUGCUAACGUCCGUCGUGAAGAGGGAAACAACCCAGACCGCCAGCUAAGGUCCCAAAGUCAUGGUUAAGUGGGAAACGAUGUGGGAAGGCCCAGACAGCCAGGAUGUUGGCUUAGAAGCAGCCAUCAUUUAAAGAAAGCGUAAUAGCUCACUGGUCGAGUCGGCCUGCGCGGAAGAUGUAACGGGGCUAAACCAUGCACCGAAGCUGCGGCAGCGACACUAUGUGUUGUUGGGUAGGGGAGCGUUCUGUAAGCCUGUGAAGGUGGCCUGUGAGGGUUGCUGGAGGUAUCAGAAGUGCGAAUGCUGACAUAAGUAACGAUAAAGCGGGUGAAAAGCCCGCUCGCCGGAAGACCAAGGGUUCCUGUCCAACGUUAAUCGGGGCAGGGUGAGUCGACCCCUAAGGCGAGGCCGAAAGGCGUAGUCGAUGGGAAACGGGUUAAUAUUCCCGUACUUGGUGUUACUGCGAAGGGGGGACGGAGAAGGCUAUGUUGGCCGGGCGACGGUUGUCCCGGUUUAAGCGUGUAGGUGUGUGUUCCAGGUAAAUCCGGUUCACUUUAACACUGAGGCGUGAUGACGAGGCACUACGGUGCUGAAGCAACAAAUGCCCUGCUUCCAGGAAAAGCCUCUAAGCAUCAGGUAACAUCAAAUCGUACCCCAAACCGACACAGGUGGUCAGGUAGAGAAUACCAAGGCGCUUGAGAGAACUCGGGUGAAGGAACUAGGCAAAAUGGUGCCGUAACUUCGGGAGAAGGCACGCUGACAUGUAGGUGAAGUGAUUUACUCAUGGAGCUGAAGUCAGUCGAAGAUACCAGCUGGCUGCAACUGUUUAUUAAAAACACAGCACUGUGCAAACACGAAAGUGGACGUAUACGGUGUGACGCCUGCCCGGUGCCGGAAGGUUAAUUGAUGGGGUCAGCGCAAGCGAAGCUCCUGAUCGAAGCCCCGGUAAACGGCGGCCGUAACUAUAACGGUCCUAAGGUAGCGAAAUUCCUUGUCGGGUAAGUUCCGACCUGCACGAAUGGCGUAAUGAUGGCCAGGCUGUCUCCACCCGAGACUCAGUGAAAUUGAACUCGCUGUGAAGAUGCAGUGUACCCGCGGCAAGACGGAAAGACCCCGUGAACCUUUACUAUAGCUUGACACUGAACAUUGAGCCUUGAUGUGUAGGAUAGGUGGGAGGCUUUGAAGUGUGGACGCCAGUCUGCAUGGAGCCGACCUUGAAAUACCACCCUUUAAUGUUUGAUGUUCUAACGUGGACCCGUGAUCCGGGUUGCGGACAGUGUCUGGUGGGUAGUUUGACUGGGGCGGUCUCCUCCUAAAGAGUAACGGAGGAGCACGAAGGUUGGCUAAUCCUGGUCGGACAUCAGGAGGUUAGUGCAAUGGCAUAAGCCAGCUUGACUGCGAGCGUGACGGCGCGAGCAGGUGCGAAAGCAGGUCAUAGUGAUCCGGUGGUUCUGAAUGGAAGGGCCAUCGCUCAACGGAUAAAAGGUACUCCGGGGAUAACAGGCUGAUACCGCCCAAGAGUUCAUAUCGACGGCGGUGUUUGGCACCUCGAUGUCGGCUCAUCACAUCCUGGGGCUGAAGUAGGUCCCAAGGGUAUGGCUGUUCGCCAUUUAAAGUGGUACGCGAGCUGGGUUUAGAACGUCGUGAGACAGUUCGGUCCCUAUCUGCCGUGGGCGCUGGAGAACUGAGGGGGGCUGCUCCUAGUACGAGAGGACCGGAGUGGACGCAUCACUGGUGUUCGGGUUGUCAUGCCAAUGGCACUGCCCGGUAGCUAAAUGCGGAAGAGAUAAGUGCUGAAAGCAUCUAAGCACGAAACUUGCCCCGAGAUGAGUUCUCCCUGAGACUUAGAGUCUCCUGAAGGAACGUUGAAGACGACGACGUUGAUAGGCCGGGUGUGUAAGCGCAGCGAUGCGUUGAGCUAACCGGUACUAAUGAACCGUGAGGCUUAACCUU
Molecule: ribosomal RNA, 2906 nt
Filed under: Salmonella enterica subsp. enterica serovar Gaminara
Lineage: Bacteria; Pseudomonadati; Pseudomonadota; Gammaproteobacteria; Enterobacterales; Enterobacteriaceae
Description: 23S ribosomal RNA
Rfam family: Bacterial large subunit ribosomal RNA
Source: RNAcentral